This 261-nucleotide ribosomal RNA is filed under the name uncultured archaeon. RNAcentral's name for it is "partial 16S ribosomal RNA". It matches the Rfam family "Archaeal small subunit ribosomal RNA", at positions 748 to 1008 of the family's 1478-position model. The record is from RNAcentral.
AGGGUGUAAACGCUGCAGACUUGGUGUUGGGAACCCUUCGGGGGUGCUCAGUGCCGGAGAGAAGUUGUUAAGUCUGCUACUUGGGGAGUACGUCCGCAAGGAUGAAACUUAAAGGAAUUGGCGGGGGAGCACCGCAACGGGAGGAGCGUGCGGUUUAAUUGGAUUCAACGCCGAAAAACUCACCGGCAGCGACUGUUACAUGAAAGUCAGGUUGAUGACCUUACUAGAUUUUCAGAGAGGUGGUGCAUGGCGUCAGUGACU